GGGAAAGGAGCGCGCGGCAAAUCGGGGGGACGGACGCCGAGCCACGCGCGCGCCGCGGCGACCCACCUUCCUCGCUGUUUACAGCCUAGAACCCAGCCUCUUGGAUAAUGGUGUUGUCGCGAGUGAAUCUCCACCCCGUCUCUCCCACUUCCUCAUUCGUCACUUCUACAGGUGCUGCUACGUGCCCUUUGUCUUUGAGCUCUUUGCUCUCCUACUUUUAAGGCUCGCCAGGUUCUGGGAGAUGGAGGGUCUGGAAUGCUCUCUAAUGAUAGUGUGUCAGCUGGGUGUUGUUCCGGCUCUUCCAUGAUUUCCCAACUUUUCCCCUCAUCUGCCUCUGAGCUGUGACCUCCCUCAAACCCCUGUUGCAAAUUUAUACUGUCUUCCUCUUCCUCCUCACUGGAAGGGUCAGGCUGGUUUCCUCCUCUGCCCAGUCCCUGACAAAUACACAGAUUCCUGCAAGGCACUCGUGGAUGGGGCUUCCCUUGAAGUUUCAACAGUUCAGUGGAAUGCAUCGCCUUCAUCUUAACAAGGUUGGGUCUCUCUUUAGUAGCAUACGAUUCCAGCAUCCUUACUUAAGAAUAUAAGAACAUAAGAAGAGCCUGCUGGAUCAGACCAAUGGCACAUCUAGUCCAGCAUCAUCUUCUCACAGUGGCCAGAUGCCUGUGGGAAACCCACAAACAGGACCGAGCUCAAGAGCACUCUCCCCAAAAUAGA
Molecule: long non-coding RNA, 714 nt
Organism: Podarcis raffonei (Aeolian wall lizard)
Lineage: Eukaryota; Metazoa; Chordata; Lepidosauria; Squamata; Lacertidae
Exons: 3
Source: RefSeq, a predicted model, not a curated record